This 3034-nucleotide long non-coding RNA is filed under the name Sorghum bicolor (sorghum). RNAcentral describes it as "long non-coding RNA (SBIC_LNC005725)". Lineage: Eukaryota; Viridiplantae; Streptophyta; Magnoliopsida; Poales; Poaceae. The record is from RNAcentral.
AAUGCACUGUUCGGUUCAACCGGCCAGGAUUGAAAACUGGGAUACAGUGAAACAGCCAGCCAAGAUUCAUAACAUGUUCAAUAGAUAAGCACAAUAUGACUUUAAUGUUCAAAACUAACAUCUGACUCUUAAUAACAAUUUCUGCACUAACAAAGUUAUGAUCAUAAAAAACAAUAAUUGAUAAUUUUUUUUUAGAAUUGACUUCCAUUCAAGGACAAUUGAUGAAAACCUUGUCAAAAUCUCAGCUGACUUUAGCCUUACAUUUGCAAACUGUCAAGAUGGUAAAAGCAAAAUUUUUCCUGGCUACUUGCACGGCGUGAUCACCGGCUCAAAGGCGCACACAUGUGCAUGACCACUCAUCUUUUUCCAAAAAAUGUCUACGGUCACUCAGACUCAAAGUGCUAAUAUCAUGUUUAAACUUGAAAUGCUUCCUAGAUCCAAAAUAUAAAUUACAAAAAUACCCAAAGGCAACAUCAACCAGAUCAAAACUCCAUUAAAUGCAAAAAUCAAAAAAGAACGUAAUCUAGCCUUCCAAUACUCCACUUAAUCGUAUGAAGCAAAACAACAAGCUCCCAGCAAUAUCUUUUAAGAACUGUCAAAGCCAUGUGCCUGCAGAAACCAAAUGUAUUAACUUAAUUGACCAAAUGACUUAUAGGACAGAUGUUUUGCAAAUAGAGUAGUAAUUUAGUAAAACUCAUCCAUUUACUUGUGCUGCUGACCGACUAUUUUUAGCUAAAUAUAAGAACAAGUAUUGGUCUUAGCACAAGUGAAGUCUUUAUUUAUGACAGGAGCAUAUCUCAGCUUUCGAUCUUACUAUGGAAGGACAGCAUAAUUGGCUAACAACAAACAUAUCCCUGACUAGAAAUACAUCUCUAUAGUCCAAAUCCUCUUACUAGCAACUCAACUAUCAAAAUAUUCUCAUCUCUAAGGGUUGAACAGGGCUAGAAAGUAGAACUGUCCUUAAUUUGUGACAACAUGUAUAGAAGAAACCCAAUUUCUCCUCCAUAGUGAUCCUAGUUUCAACAACAAGCCUUUUCCUUCUAAGGUAAGUUGCCAAAUCUCUAAAGAUGUAUGGUUCCAUCCUAAAUGCAACUUGACAGUUCUUGACAUGUCCCUCGAGGAGUCUACGAACUUUAACCUCGUCUGUUUCUUCCGAAGUAUGGCGUUUCCUCCUUUCUCCCCCUCUAACAGAACUCAUAAGAUAUAAGGCAGGGAAAAUAAAUAGCAUCAUGUCAUCAUCUUCCUCCUCCCUCCUCUUUCUAAUGCGAUCUCGCAGUGAUAGACUCAUUGUAGAACUGAAGCAUAUAAUUUUAUAAAAAAGCUAAAUAUUAUUAACCAUGUUAUAUAAAAGCUAAAUAUUUUGACAAUGUCGUAUAGAAGAUAAAUAUUAAGGAGUACCUUCUGGAGUUGGUACUGGAUCCCAAGAAGGCGGAGGUUCACCUUCCCCAACUCUAAAUGGUGGAGGAGAGAUCUACAAAUGACAAGAAACAAUUUUUGAGUCAAAUAAGAGUUUAUUCUGAGCCAAAUAACAAGAAACCAACGCUGAAAUAGCUGAUAAUUGAAGCGACGUGCUAAGCCAAGUUGAAAUAGCUGAUAAUUGAAGCGACGCUGCAGGGAGCUACGCCACACUUCUCUACAAGAAACCAACGCUGAAAUUGCUGAUAAUAUUACAAUCACAUAGGAGUAUAGAACAGUAAAACAUUCUUAAGCCAAGUUGUUGUAACAUGUUGUGCUGAUGCAUGCAAACUGCAAGUAGGUACUGUACACUCCUAACAAAAACACGUCAAUGGUAAAUAAACAUGCUGCUACGUAGUAGUGCAGUCAGAGGUAACCACAUACUAUUAUAUGCUGUACGUAAGCAGGCUGAUAAGCUCAUUGGCCAGGGAAAUUGGGAAAAGGCAUCUCACUUUUCACUGACCACACGGAUUAGGAAGAUGCUGUCAAGCUGAAACACUGCUACGACUGGUAACAGUUUUGAGAGUUAAACUACUACUAGCGGUGUGAUUGGUGAAUGCCUGAAUGGUGAUGCCCCAACUAAUGCUCUCGAUCUCAAGAAUUUGACACAGCAAGGCCACAUCCGCUCCUCUCUUAGUUAUUAGAACAGAAAUUGGAUCUCUCUGAAUAAAGAAACAGAGGGAAAGAUAAACAAAUCCGAUCCGGAGGACCAGUAUAUAUGUUGUUGUUCGGAGGCCAUGGCUGCUUCCCCUGUCCUGCUCGUCACCGCUGGGCUCUGCCUCUGCGCGUUGUUGCUCAGAGCAGGGGAGGCGGCGACGAGGGGAGGAGCAGCGGUGGUGGAAGCAGCAGCGUCGUCGGCAUUCCGCAGCAGGGCGACGGACCCAAACAUGGAGGUGAAGUUCGACUUCUCGCCGUUCCUAAUCCAGUACAAGAGCGGCCGCGUGCAGCGGUUAAUGGGCACGACGUUCGUCCCGGCGUCCAUGGACUCGCGCACCGGGGUGGCCUCCAGGGACGUCGUCGUGGACCACAGGACGGGCCUCGCGGUGCGGCUGUACCGGCCGAGCCGUCGCCCCGUGGCCGCCAGUGGCGGAGGCGGAGGCGGGAGGAGGCUCCCCGUGCUCGUCUACUUCCACGACGGCGCGUUCGUGGUGGAGUCGGCAUUCGACCCCGUGUACCACAACUACCGGAACGCACUUCGCGGUGCCGCGCCGAAGGAGCUGGCCCGCCUGUGGAGCCUGCGGGUGCUCGACCUCAGCGCGAACGCACCAAGAGUCGCCGACGCGCGCGUCGUCGCCCAGCGAUCAAUCGCAACCACCAUGCCCAAGAUCCAAGAACCCUACAGGAGGGAGAGAAGACGAGGACGAAGGGGAGAGCGAGGGAUCACCGGCGAGAAGGACGAAGAAGGGGAAGGACGUAGGGUUGGAGUCGGUCGCGUCGCCGUCGUCUCGCACCGCCCCGCCGUCGCCGCCGUCGCCUCCACUACGGCCUGUAGCUGCGGGGUCUCGACUGCUCGUGGUGCUCGACUGCGCCGUCUCAGGCCUGACUCCGUUCCGGAGGGUAGGAGGUCGGGCUUUGUUCC